GUUGUGGUUCAGUGGUAGAGUGCUUGCCUAGCAUGCAUGAGGCACUGGGUUCGAUCCCCAACAUCACA
This 68-nucleotide transfer RNA is filed under the name Marmota monax (woodchuck). RNAcentral's name for it is "tRNA.Ala". The stretch from base 3 to 63 matches the Rfam family "tRNA", at positions 6 to 65 of the family's 71-position model. Rfam says of the family: Transfer RNA (tRNA) molecules are approximately 80 nucleotides in length. Their secondary structure includes four short double-helical elements and three loops (D, anti-codon, and T loops). The record is from RNAcentral. Lineage: Eukaryota; Metazoa; Chordata; Mammalia; Rodentia; Sciuridae.